RNAcentral lists this transfer RNA (70 nucleotides) under Dipodomys ordii (Ord's kangaroo rat). It matches the Rfam family "tRNA". Rfam says of the family: Transfer RNA (tRNA) molecules are approximately 80 nucleotides in length. Their secondary structure includes four short double-helical elements and three loops (D, anti-codon, and T loops). Further hydrogen bonds mediate the characteristic L-shaped molecular structure. tRNAs have two regions of fundamental functional importance: the anti-codon, which is responsible for specific mRNA codon recognition, and the 3' end, to which the tRNAs corresponding amino acid is attached (by aminoacyl-tRNA synthetases). tRNAs cope with the degeneracy of the genetic code in two manners: having more than one tRNA (with a specific anti-codon) for a particular amino acid; and 'wobble' base-pairing, i.e. permitting non-standard base-pairing at the 3rd anti-codon position. The record is from Rfam by way of RNAcentral. Lineage: Eukaryota; Metazoa; Chordata; Mammalia; Rodentia; Heteromyidae.
GGAAAUGUGGCUUAGUGGUAGAGUGCUUGCCUAGCAUGCAUGAAGUCCUGGGUUCAAUUCCUCAGUACCA